AUGGAAGACUACUUCUCCGAGGUACCUACAUACCCUCCUCGUCUCUUCCACAGAAGGUACCGAAUGCGGUGUAGUUUGUUUGUGAAGAUUGUCACCGAUUGUGAGGCCGCCUCAUAUUACUUUAAACGUCGUAGAUCCGCCGCCGGUAUCAUGGGGUUUAGUGCAUAUCAAAAGAUAUCGGCGGCAAUGCGGGUACUCGCUUAUGGCAUACCCGCGGAUUAUACAGACGAGUAUCUUCGCAUUGGUCAAGAUACAACCACGGAGUCAGUCCGUAGGUUUGCCAAGUUGGUCAUCCGAUUGUACGGUGAGUAG
Molecule: ribosomal RNA, 312 nt
Filed under: Triticum aestivum (bread wheat)
Lineage: Eukaryota; Viridiplantae; Streptophyta; Magnoliopsida; Poales; Poaceae
Description: partial small subunit ribosomal RNA
Source: RNAcentral